UACAGAGACCUCAAGCGUUAUCCGGAUUUACUGGGCGUAAAGCGUCCGCAGGUGGUUCGUUAAGUCAUUGGUCAAAUCCCGGGGCUCAACCCCGGAACUGCCCGUGAUACUGGCGAACUUGAGGCCGGCAGAGGCAAGCGGAAUUACUGGUGUAGCGGUAAAAUGCGUUUAUAUCAGUAAGAACACCAAAGGCGAAAGCAGCUUGCUGGAACGGUCCUGACACUCAUGGACGAAAGCGUGGGGAGCGAAAAGG
This 253-nucleotide ribosomal RNA is filed under the name uncultured bacterium. RNAcentral's name for it is "partial 16S ribosomal RNA". It matches the Rfam family "Bacterial small subunit ribosomal RNA", at positions 524 to 776 of the family's 1533-position model. The record is from RNAcentral.